This is a long non-coding RNA of Tympanuchus pallidicinctus (lesser prairie-chicken), 589 nucleotides long. RefSeq lists it as uncharacterized. The transcript is spliced from 4 exons. NCBI's taxonomy places the organism in Eukaryota, Metazoa, Chordata, Aves, Galliformes, Phasianidae. The record is from RefSeq and is a predicted model, not a curated record.
UAAAUUGAGGGCUGCUGUUGUUAUGGACUUCAGCAGGGGAUAAAUGCUAGUUCACUGUAGUUGAGCAGAUCCUUAUGUAAGACAGCCUUUAAGUACUUACCUUGGCUCUUAACUGAAUUUAUCAUUUUGCAAAGCACGUGCAAGAGGCCUGUACCAGAAAUCCUAAGUUAGAUAUAGGAUGCCAGUUGAAUGGAGAGUUUGCAAGCUGCUGUUCCUGUACCUAUUUGAAAUUAAAUUUCAAACUGCAGUGUCUACAUCAGCUUCAUCAUAAAGCUCCAGAUGUUGGGUUCAUCAUCUACAGAAGAGGUCAUGGUUAUACAAAUCAUUGUCAGUCUGUCUGGCAGCUUCACAAACCGUAUUGCAGAGAAGCCAGAAAUUAACCUGAACCACUGUCAACUUUACUCUGAAGAGAUCUAAGGAAGAAUUGUAGUCAACUGAAUUUCUCUUAAAAAGUGUGUCAUCUGUCAAGCAAUACAAAACCAUUACUGAUCUGACUGCGCUGAAAGUACAAAACUGAGUCUGAGGUUGAACAGCAUUUCAGAAUACUCUGCCAGUAGAGAAAAAGCCAAGGAAGGGGGUGACAGAGCAA